GUGUAACCACUUAGGAUAAUCUGCAUCGUCGUCGUUAUAAUCAACCUGCAAAAGUAAAGAGAAUGUUAAUGAAAUACAAAUUAUGUAUAAAAAAAGUUUGAGUUAAUACCUGAUUCCGCAACCACUUAAUGAAGUGUUGAUCUUUCCUUUUGUCUACGUCACUUGUGGAUAUACCAGGAAAUGUUUCUUCGACUUGAGAAAUAAAUAGGCUGUAAAAUCACAUUUUAUAGGAAUGAAUCUC
This 241-nucleotide long non-coding RNA is filed under the name Brassica napus (rape). RNAcentral's name for it is "long non-coding RNA (BNAP_LNC020105)". Lineage: Eukaryota; Viridiplantae; Streptophyta; Magnoliopsida; Brassicales; Brassicaceae. The record is from RNAcentral.